RNAcentral lists this ribosomal RNA (502 nucleotides) under uncultured bacterium. RNAcentral describes it as "partial 16S ribosomal RNA". It matches the Rfam family "Bacterial small subunit ribosomal RNA", at positions 28 to 523 of the family's 1533-position model. The record is from RNAcentral.
GAUGAACGCUAGCGGCAGGCCUAACACAUGCAAGUCGAGGGGCAGCACAGAAACAGCAAUGUUUUGGUGGCGACCGGCGGACGGGUGCGUAACGCGUAUGCAACCUACCUUUAACAGGGGGACAACGGAGAGAAAUUUCCACUAAUACCCCAUAACAUCGAUCAAGGCAUCUUGAUUGGUUGAAAACUCCGGUGGUUAAAGAUGGGCAUGCGUUGUAUUAGGUAGUUGGUGAGGUAAUGGCUCACCAAGCCUACGAUACAUAGGGGGACUGAGAGGUUAGCCCCCCACACUGGUACUGAGACACGGACCAGACUCCUACGGGAGGCAGCAGUGAGGAAUAUUGGUCAAUGGGGGCAACCCUGAACCAGCCAUGCCGCGUGCAGGAAGACGGCUCUAUGAGUUGUAAACUGCUUUUAAACAGGGAUAAAGCACAGUAUGUACACUGUGUUGAAGGUACUGUAAGAAUAAGGAUCGGCUAACUCCGUGUCAGCCGCCGCCGUAA